UAACGGAUCUUCCGCAAUGCGCGAAAGCGUGACGGAGCAAUGCCGCGUGUAGGAUGAAGCCCCUCGGGGUGUAAACUACUGUCAGGACUCAGGAAUAUUGACCAAGUCCAAAGGAAGGGCCGGCUAACUUCGUG
This 134-nucleotide ribosomal RNA is filed under the name uncultured Planctomycetota bacterium. Its description in RNAcentral is "uncultured planctomycete partial 16S ribosomal RNA". It matches the Rfam family "Bacterial small subunit ribosomal RNA", at positions 355 to 507 of the family's 1533-position model. Lineage: Bacteria; Pseudomonadati; Planctomycetota. The record is from RNAcentral.